RNAcentral lists this small RNA (96 nucleotides) under uncultured Treponema sp. RNAcentral's name for it is "TD-2 RNA". It matches the Rfam family "TD-2 RNA". From Rfam's summary of the family: non coding RNA found in Treponema denticola Lineage: Bacteria; Pseudomonadati; Spirochaetota; Spirochaetia; Treponematales; Treponemataceae. The record is from RNAcentral.
CGGCAUGGAUGCCGCUGGUUCCACGCAACAGCGACGUUUGAGGCUUCGCCUCAAACUCGUCGAUGAAAAAUGUACACGGAUGUACAUUUUUCAUCA